Rattus norvegicus (Norway rat) is the source of this 6161-nucleotide non-coding RNA. The record is from RefSeq and is a predicted model, not a curated record. NCBI's taxonomy places the organism in Eukaryota, Metazoa, Chordata, Mammalia, Rodentia, Muridae.
CGGAGCCCAAAAGGAAUACUAACACCCACCCUGCCUGCUUGCUCCCCUGUAUUUGUGUCUUGACCCCUCAGCUUCCAGCCUUAAUUCAUUCAGGUCCUUUUCUGGAGACAGAGCCUACUCUGCCUGAGCCAUACCUUUAUUGCUGCUCAAUUGCUGUCUUCAUCUAGUGACAGGUGGAAACUGGUGGCUAAAACCCCAUUCCUUUUUGUCCCAGGGAAAGCCCCAGGCUGAUGUUGUCAAGAAAUGGAGAAAUGCCCAGAAGAAGCCAGUGAGGGCUGCCUGCAGACGACACUCCCUACCCCCAUUUUCUACUGGGAGUCUGGCACCUUCAGCUUUCUCUUCCAGAUGCAUUCACGGUGACACUUUCCAGCCAACGGUCAGCAUUUGUUCCAGUGAUGAAUGAGCUUAGUCAGCCAACAGAUAUUUACUGAAUACCUACUAAGCUCCGUGAUUGUCUGUGUCGGGCAUACAAAAACCAGCAUUAGCUUUCCAUUUCGUAUAGCAUUUCUGGCCAGAGUUAGAUAUUUAACCAACGGACCGCAAACUGUGGUAACCACACUUUAAAUGGAGAAAGGAUACUCAUGCAUGCAUGGCAUGUUAGUAUGUGUUAGAGGGACCCCCAACUUUCAACACAAAUUCUUCUCCAGAUGACAUUUGUUCUAAGAGAGCCCUCUUUUAAGAUUUCCUUUAUUUUUAAGUACAUGUGAAUGGGCACGCACACGUAUGAGUCCAGGUGCCCACAGAGUUCAGAAGACAGUGUCGGAUUGUCGGGAGCUGGAGUUAUAGGUGAUGUGAGCUGUCCAAUGUGGAGGCAGGAAACUGAACUUCUGUUGUUCUAACCACUGAACCGUCUCACUGGGACAUAUUUCUUAUUUCUUGGGGGGUGCAUUUUUUUAAACAGCUGGGUUUUUCUUAGGAAGGGUUUAGGUAUUAGUGGAAUUUGUUGUGUGACCAGCUUGUUCAUGUCCUCUUAUACGUGCUCCAAGUUACUGCUGGAUGACCGUGUUCUGUGUCUCCAGAUCUGGCUAGAAUUUGAUAUGAUUGAGUGUAUGGCAGGGGGAAGCAAGCCUCCUUAGGGUCAUUUGGAACCUUUCAUUUCAUUUGUCCCUCCUUCUAGACAUUCUAAGCACCUGCCAGACAGUUUACUUACUGCUUAGCGAAUGAGCGUAGAGAGUAAGUAUAUUAGCCAGCUUUCUAUCACAAAAUACUGGAGAUAAUUCAGCUCAAAGAGAGGAAGGGUUUGAUCUGGCGUACAAUGUCAUAGGUUUUUGUUUGUUUGUUUGGUUUGGUUUGGUUUGAUCUGGCGUACAAUGUCAUAGGUUUUUGUUUGUUUGGUUUGGUUUGGUUUGUCCAAAGUCAGUUGGCACAAUGUUUUGGAGCCUGUCACAAGGUGUCAUGGUGAGGGUACAUAGCGGGGGAAGUUGUUGACUUCAUGGUACUUGGGAAGAGACCAGAGUCACAUUAUCUUUUUUCUAUAGCAUGAGCCCAAUGGCCCAGCUUCCUUCUCCUGCACCCCACCUCCUAAAGGUUCUAUUAUCUGCCUUCACUAAGAUACAAGUCUUUCAACAUAUGGGGUUCAGAGAGACUUUUUAGGUUCAAAUUGUAAUAGCUUUUUGCAGACAUUGUAGUGAAUACUAGUAUUUAUUCACUGGACAGUAUGUAUUCAGCAUCGGUCCCAUAGUAGUGCUGGGCCCUGGAGAUCAGGGGUCAAGAGAUAACCCUUGACUACAGUGUGUCAAGGAGUCUGGGGCUGGGGUGGAGCUCAGUAUAACCCCUUGCAGAGGAUGUUCAAGGUCUUAGGUCCCAUCCCUAGCACAGCAACACAAGACAGACAGACAGACAGACACAAAGCCAAAGGAGCGAACCCUACUGAGAUACAGAGGCAAGAACUUGAUAGCCCUGUGCUCAAGGAAAAGUUGUAGCAGAAGUGACAGUAAAGGAAGAGUGGGGUGAGAGUAGGGGUGCCAGUACCAGGACAAAACUGGAGAUAAUAAAAGGACCGUAGUGCCUUUAAGACCCCAGGGAAAUGAACUCAUGUAAAUGCUCUCUUCAUCGUCAACCUGACAAGAUUUUGGAAUCCCGAUGAAAACACACACAUAGGCGCCAGAUCUCAACAACGAGGAGAGGAGCUAAUUGCAAAUGUGUACCGGGAAUGCAAUUAAUAAAACUGUCACAGAAGAUUUUAAAAAGAGAGUAGAAAAUGUCCUGGUCGCAGCAUGGAAGGCAAUUGGAGAAGUUAAGUGGCGGGUGCUGCGUUGGUUUCCUGGGCCCUUCUGAGCAUUAGCGGGGGAGCAGACAUCUUGGGAUGGAGUUAGUAAUGGAAGAGAAAGAAGAGAUCAGAUAUGCACAUGAGGUCUGGCUUGCAGGACAGGCUGGAGGUGGGGAUAGCUUUGGGAAGCUGCAGCAGAGGUCCACAGGAUGGUGUAGUGCUAUCGAAGGAUAUCAAUUUAGAGAUGCUUGAGAGGAGGCUCAGUCAGGCUGAAAGCCUUCUCUUGGAUGAAGGGUAGAGGAUGUAGAAAGAGGCCCAAGGAAGCAGGAAGGGGUGGAGGUAGGAUUCUGACCCAUGCUUGCUUUUCUCACUUCCUGUCCCAGCACACAGAGCCCGAAUUUUCACAGGAAAAUAAUCAUGCACAUAACCAACACAGACAGUAUCUCCUUGAGGUCUAUCAGGCUGUGGAAUGGACACCUCACAGCAGUGGGACGGCUGGCUGCAGGAGUUAAGAGGCUCACAAAAUGUAAGUCAGUGAGAAGCAGAGCUCAUAUUCCAGCUCCAUUAAAGGACCAAGUCUACAGCCUUCGUCCUUCAUCCAUCAUCCUUCAUCGUUCAUCCUUCAUCCUUUAUCUUUCAGCCUUUCUGCCAGUGUAGGUCUUUCUAGAGUAGCAGUUCUCAACCUAUGGGUGGAGACCCCUUUGCAGGGGUCAAAUGACCCUUUCCCAGGGGUUGCCUAAGACCAUCAGAAAACACAGAUACUUACAUUAUGAUUCAUAACAGUUGCAAAGUUACAGUUAUGAAUCACGGUUGGGAGGGGCACCACAGCAUGAGGAAUUGUAUUAAAAGGUCAUGACAUUAAGAAGGUUGAGAACCAUUGCUCUAGGAGGACUGGCUGACUGCAACACUGAAGCUCCUGUAGAGCUCCCUCAACUAGAGUCCCCAGCCCCUCAGCCUCAGUCUCUGGGGACUGGCUUGGUAACCUGGCACUGCAGCGACCAGCUCAUCCUGGCUCCAUGUUCUUGAAAGAGCAGUCACUCCUCCAGGUUUGCAUUUUCGGGCUCCAACACAUUCCACAGACAGUGCUGCCCCUUUGUGGUGCCCCUCUUGGCAAUGAGGGAGGAAAGGGGACAGCAGUGAAGGAUGACUACCUUGAAGGAAUUUCUUGUCCCCCCCACUUCCAUAGGAUCCUUUGCUACCAUUCUGGAUGACAGACAUUCCACUGCCCAAAAUCACCCUAUCCCCUGUGUCAGGACAUAGGUGUAUGGUUGCAUGAUGGAUUGACAGGCUUCUUUGUGCUACGUUCCCAUAUCAUAAGGUCUGUUUGUUCAUACCCGAGUCAGUUCUCAUCUGUAAUUAAUAGCAGACCUACUGUGGCCAUGUGAAGCCCCCAUCAAGAAUUCUUUCUCUUUCUCCUUCCUUCUGGUCCUCUGUUCCUCCUUCCCUUCUCCUUCUCUUCCCUGUUCUCUUCUUUUGACUCUUUUUUUUUUUUUUUGGUUCUUUUUUUCGGAGCUGGGGACCGAACCCAGGGCCUUGCGCUUCCUAGGUAAGCGCUCUAUCACUGAGCUAAAUCCCCAGCCCCUUCUUUUGACUCUUUUGAGACAGGGCCUUGUGCUGCAUCCCAGGCUGGUCCAAACUUACCUUGCCCAUGUCUGCAUCUAUCAGCUGACCUGGGAUGUGGCCCGUGAGCAUGUGUAUAGGGUAUUUUCUUGAUUACUGAGGAAGGAGUGUCCAGUCCAAUAUGGACAGUACCAUUCCUGGGCAGGUGACCCAUCAGUGAAUAUGAAAGCAGACUCGGCAAGUCAUGGAGAGCAAACCAGUAAGCAGAGCUUCUCCAUGGUCUCUGCAUCAGCUCCUGCCUUGAGUUCCUUUUCUGACUUCCUUAGUGGUAGACCAUGAUGUGGAAGUGGAAGCCAAAUAAGCCCUUCCUUUCCAUUAAGUGGGUUUUGGUCAUGGUGUUUAUCACAGCAACAGAGAACUGUAACUAGGACAACGAUGUCCUACUUCUGAUGUUCAGGCUGCUUCUAAGAGACUCUGAUGGAAAUGUGUGGUGAUGCUCAUGGCAAAAUUCACCACCAGUGAGUCUAGCCUGUGGCCUGCUGGUAAGCACUAUGUUAUGCUUGGCUCGUGUCCUCUCGAUGGGGAUGAGGUUGUUACAGCUUUCAGGUGUCUUCCAGACUAGCAUGGAUGCAAUCCAGAAUCUCUGGAAUCCAGAAAACAGAACGGAGUUGACUCUGGAUGACUCCUGGAGCCUAUACCUAAUUAGAGGAGGUGUGACUGCCAAGACAAAGAUGCCCCUUGGUUUGGUCUAUGCCCACACUACCUGAGGACAGGGCUCACCUACAGCCUUGACUCUAUAUCCACAGGCAAAUGCCCUUCCUCCUUUUGAAGUCAGGACACCUCAUAACUUCUAUCAGUUCCUGUUGGCCAGAAUCAUCCUGCAGAAACAUUUUAGCUCGUGACUUAUGAUUGUAAGAGUCAGGUGAGAAGGGAGCUGAAUUCCCAAGAGGCUGCUGUGAAGCAGCACUGCUCAUUGCUGAGUGCUAGCCUCCUGUUCUCAGCGUUCCUGUCUUGAUCUUGUGAUCCGGCCAAGGAAAGAAACUGCAGUGGCCAUGAGGGAGAGGACCUGAACGCCAGCCCUGCCUCAGUGGUCAGUGAUGAGCACAAAUGCCCUUUCUUACUUGUUUGUACUCCCACUUAUCCAAGAGUUGUCUUUGUUGAGCUGUCCCACUUGUAUCUUGUGUAAUUGUGGAUGGUAAGGAAUUCAAUUGUGAUGUUCUUUGCACCGCCCACUUCGCUGAGAGAUAUAGAGCCACAGAGAGUAUAAGGACCUAGAAGACCUCUAACUGAGAGUCAGAAAGCCUGCUGGCCUCUGCUAGAAUCCUGCUCAACUGGACCUGUCUACCACCCUGGGUGUGACAAGUAGGGAUAUGCUUGUGAAUGUGCCUUUCUACUAUUUUAGAAUGUUUUCCUAGGGCACCAGUGCCCCAGAACCCCAGCUGUUCAGGGGGUAUAGCAUUCUGAGAUGGGCUCCAUAGAAUACCCUUCUGCUAUUGGAGUCUCUCCUCCUGACAGCUGUGAGGUUCAGCUGAUGAGGCUAAGAGAGGGUCCCAGAGGGAAUGGGAAGUGUCCAACUGGCCUGGACAUUUGUGUCCUCUGAAGCCCUUGAAUGAAUUCUUUUAACGGACUGGAUGGCUCUGCAUCUUCUAACUCCCUGACAUUUGCAGUUGGGAGCUCUACACCUGUAGACUCAGCUGGCUGCAGGCUGUUGGGGGAAGCUCCAGGGCUUACAUGGGUGAGUUGAACAUAGCCCUCAGUAGAUAACCAUUGAGUUUGUCUAUCGGUCCACUCUGGCUUUAAUUUUCCAGUUCCCUUUGGCUUGUGUCCUAUCAACUAAGGAACUCUAUGCUGCAAUUAACAGAAAACCUGACAGAGACGGAUGGAAAUAAAGGGCACAUCACUAUCUCAUAUAAUUGGAAGAUUAUAUGUGCUAGUUGGAGAGAUGCCAAGCUUGGGUAUUUCUUAGAUUAAUGACAUCACCAGGGACCUGUAUUCUUUGUGCUUCUCCCUCUGUCCUCUUUGAUAUUCAUUUCAUCAUUGCAGCUGUUUCAGGUGUCAUGUACUAAUGUGAUGACAUCAAAAGAAAGAGGGACAUCUCUGUCUGUGCCUUGCCCUUAAUAGGGAGACGUUUCCUUCCAUGUCUCACUGGGAUUACUGGAUUUGUCUAGAUUAAUCUUCUAUGGUGGAAUGGGUUUGGAGGAGUCAACCAGAGCCAAACACGGUUUCUAAUGAUAACUCUUUCUGUGUUUGACAGGUUGAGCUUCCUGAGUUCUUACUUGACCACCCACCUUUCUUUAGCAUUUUACCAUGGUCUUUCCUUUCUCCUUCCAGGUCCAUUGCAAACCCCACCAAAUUUAUCAUAGCUAGGUAGCUCACAUCUAGAUCCAACUGA